RNAcentral lists this non-coding RNA (25 nucleotides) under Mus musculus (house mouse). The record is from RNAcentral. Lineage: Eukaryota; Metazoa; Chordata; Mammalia; Rodentia; Muridae.
AUUCCAAUUAUGCCAAUAAGUCAGU